Non-coding RNA from Procambarus clarkii (red swamp crayfish), 536 nucleotides. The record is from RefSeq and is a predicted model, not a curated record. Lineage: Eukaryota; Metazoa; Arthropoda; Malacostraca; Decapoda; Cambaridae.
GUUGGGUGCGGCUGCCCUUCUCACGGUCUGCCUGCUCAAUACUGAGAGUUACAGGAGCGGGGGGAAGGCUGUAUUCACCUGUUACAGGAGCCAGAACAUGGCUACAGACACCUCCUGGAGGUCUGCUGAAGGAGACACACAACAAAUGGCUGACAGACCAACCUUAUUACCUGGACUCUAGCUGAUUUUGAGAGAGAUGCUUCAGGCAGUACGAGGGAAGGAGCCAGGUCUACAUGAUGCUGAGUUGCAGCAACUGGUGUUCGGGAUGAAACAGGUGCUGGGCAUGGCGCUGCUGGAGAGGAGGCACGCGUUGCAGCAGAAAAUUUUCCUCCAUGUGAGAAGUGUUCCUGUCCCCCCUCCAGAAUACUCCAGCUUCCACCACCCCACCACAAAACUAAGAAUCAUCGAAAAUGUCAUGGACCACCACAAGUGGUCUCUUCAGUGAAGUAAACCAAAUCGAGAUGGAGCGAUCCCGAGAACCAAUUGCUACACAGCAGUACUGCACAGACUUCCCCGUCUUGGUGUCAAUUUUUUUC